This 467-nucleotide ribosomal RNA is filed under the name uncultured bacterium. Its description in RNAcentral is "bacterial SSU rRNA". It matches the Rfam family "Bacterial small subunit ribosomal RNA", at positions 355 to 825 of the family's 1533-position model. The record is from RNAcentral.
UGAGGAAUAUUGGACAAUGGGCGCAAGCCUGAUCCAGCCAUGCCGCGUGCAGGAUGACGGUCCUAUGGAUUGUAAACUGCUUUUGUACAGGAAGAAACAGUUCUACGUGUAGAACCUUGACGGUACUGUAAGAAUAAGGAUCGGCUAACUCCGUGCCAGCAGCCGCGGUAAUACGGAGGAUCCAAGCGUUAUCCGGAAUCAUUGGGUUUAAAGGGUCCGUAGGCGGUUAGAUAAGUCAGUGGUGAAAGCCCAUCGCUCAACGGUGGAACGGCCAUUGAUACUGUCUGACUUGAAUUAUUAGGAAGUAACUAGAAUAUGUAGUGUAGCGGUGAAAUGCUUAGAGAUUACAUGGAAUACCAAUUGCGAAGGCAGGUUACUACUAAUGGAUUGACGCUGAUGGACGAAAGCGUGGGUAGCGAACAGGAUUAGAUACCCGAGUAGUCCCUGAGCGGGCUGGCAAGGCGCAU